Molecule: Y RNA, 113 nt
Filed under: Microcebus murinus (gray mouse lemur)
Lineage: Eukaryota; Metazoa; Chordata; Mammalia; Primates; Cheirogaleidae
Description: Y RNA (ENSMICG00000046927.1)
Rfam family: Y RNA
About the family: Y RNAs are components of the Ro ribonucleoprotein particle (Ro RNP), in association with Ro60 and La proteins. The Y RNAs and Ro60 and La proteins are well conserved, but the function of the Ro RNP is not known.
Source: Rfam by way of RNAcentral
GGCUGGUCCGAAGGUAGUGAAUUAUCUCACUUGAUUAUUCACAGUCACUUACAGGUUGAACUCCUUGUUCUUCUACUUCCCCUUUCCUCACUACUGCAUUUGACUAGUCUUAA